This 304-nucleotide ribosomal RNA is filed under the name uncultured bacterium. RNAcentral describes it as "partial 16S ribosomal RNA". It matches the Rfam family "Bacterial small subunit ribosomal RNA", at positions 506 to 809 of the family's 1533-position model. The record is from RNAcentral.
CAGCAGUAGCCGCGGUAAUGCGAAGGGGGCUAGCGUUGUUCGGAUUUACUGGGCGUAAAGCGCACGUAGGCGGCUUGGUAAGUUAGAGGUGAAAGCCUGGAGCUCAACUCCAGAAUUGCCUUUAAGACUGCCGAGCUAGCAGGUGAGAGAGGUAAGUGGAAUUCCGAGUGUAGAGGUGAAAUUCGUAGAUAUUCGGAAGUACACCAGUGGCGAAGGCGGCUUACUGGCUCAUACUGGACGCUGAGGUGCGAAAGCGUGGGGAGCAAACAGGAUUAGAUACCCCAGUAGUCCCUGUCUCUUAUAA